CUAAACACCUAUUUUGCAAUGCUCUUCUACUUUGACUUAUUUGGCUUUAUAACUUUUUUGAACUGAGCGUCACUGAUGAGUCUUAUGUAGACGAAACGAGGGUCUGACGUACUAAAUUAUCAUCCCAGUACCUUGAUGAAUAUUGAUACGGAUAAAAAAUAAAAAUAACCCCACUAAAAGUAAGUAUUUACUAAAAACAGGAG
RNAcentral lists this long non-coding RNA (203 nucleotides) under Mytilus galloprovincialis (Mediterranean mussel). Lineage: Eukaryota; Metazoa; Mollusca; Bivalvia; Mytilida; Mytilidae. The record is from RNAcentral.